RNAcentral lists this ribosomal RNA (271 nucleotides) under uncultured archaeon. Its description in RNAcentral is "partial 16S ribosomal RNA". It matches the Rfam family "Archaeal small subunit ribosomal RNA", at positions 477 to 747 of the family's 1478-position model. The record is from RNAcentral.
CAGCGCCACGAGUGGUAACCACGUUUAUUGGGCCUAAAGCGUCCGUAGCCGGUUUGAUAAAUCUUUUGUGAAAUUGUACAGCUUAACUGUACAGCGUGCAAGAGACACUGUCAAACUUGAGACCGGGAGGAGUCAGAAGUAUUCCAGAGGGAGCGGUAAAAUGUUAUAAUCUCUGGAGGACUACCUGUGGCGAAGGCGUCUGACCAGAACGGAUCUGACGGUGAGGGACGAAAGCUAGGGGAGCGAUCCGGAUUAGAUACCCGAGUAGUCC